UACGGGGGGUGCAAGCAUUAAUCGGAUUUAUUGGGCGUAAAGGGCGCGUAGGCGGGCCUGUAAGUCAGAUGUGAAAGCCCGGAGCUCAACUCCGGAACAGCAUUUGAAACUGUGGGUCUAGAGGGUAGGCGGGGAAAAUGGAAUUCCACAAGUAGCGGUGAAAUGCGUAGAUAUGUGGAAGAACACCGGUGGCGAAGGCGAUUUUCUAGCUUAUACCUGACGCUGAGGCGCGAAAGUAAGGGGAUCAAACAGG
RNAcentral lists this ribosomal RNA (253 nucleotides) under uncultured bacterium. Its description in RNAcentral is "partial 16S ribosomal RNA". It matches the Rfam family "Bacterial small subunit ribosomal RNA", at positions 524 to 776 of the family's 1533-position model. The record is from RNAcentral.